GAGAGAAAGGGUUAGGCAUGCUUUGCAACUCCUAAAUUUAAUAUGCAUUUAAAGAUAAUAGUCCUACAUUCUAUUGCUAAUAGCAUGCUGGAAUUUAUCACAACAAACAGUUUUAACAUAGCAAAGAAGCUAUUAAAAUCUGCCAACUGCUGUUAAUCAGAUGUGAAUCCUGCAUUCCCAAGUCAACAAAGGCAUAUGAUUAAAAAUGUCUGAAAUGGCUGUAAGAAUAUUCCACAAGGCAAAUUACCCAUCCCAAUACGACAAAUCAUAUAGCAUUUUCAAUUUCUUUUUACAAAUUUGAAAAUAUAGAUACCUGUAAUCAUCUGCAGCUCCAUG
RNAcentral lists this unclassified non-coding RNA (336 nucleotides) under Hevea brasiliensis (rubber tree). Lineage: Eukaryota; Viridiplantae; Streptophyta; Magnoliopsida; Malpighiales; Euphorbiaceae. The record is from RNAcentral.